Molecule: non-coding RNA, 118 nt
Organism: Ruminococcus sp. DSM 100440
Lineage: Bacteria; Bacillati; Bacillota; Clostridia; Eubacteriales; Oscillospiraceae
Source: Rfam
GUUGGUGGUGACGCGUUUUGGGGAAACACCCGUACCCAUCCCGAACACGACGGUUAAGCCCAAGACGGCCGAGAGUACUGCACUGGAGACGGUGUGGGAGGGUAGGUGGCCGCCAACU